This 484-nucleotide ribosomal RNA is filed under the name uncultured bacterium. RNAcentral's name for it is "partial 16S ribosomal RNA". It matches the Rfam family "Bacterial small subunit ribosomal RNA", at positions 30 to 507 of the family's 1533-position model. The record is from RNAcentral.
AUUGAACGCUGGCGGCAGGCCUAACACAUGCAAGUCGAGCGGAUGACGGGAGCUUGCUCCUUGAUUCAGCGGCGGACGGGUGAGUAAUGCCUAGGAAUCUGCCUGGUAGUGGGGGACAACGUUCCGAAAGGAGCGCUAAUACCGCAUACGUCCUACGGGAGAAAGUGGGGGAUCUUCGGACCUCACGCUAUCAGAUGAGCCUAGGUCGGAUUAACUAGUUGGUGAGGUAAAGGCUCACCAAGGCGACGAUCCGUAACUGGUCUGAGAGGAUGAUCAGUCACACUGGAACUGAGACACGGUCCAGACUCCUACGGGAGGCAGCAGUGGGGAAUAUUGGACAAUGGGCGAAAGCCUGAUCCAGCCAUGCCGCGUGUGUGAAGAAGGUCUUCGGAUUGUAAAGCACUUUAAGUUGGGAGGAAGGGCAGUAAGUUAAUACCUUGCUGUUUUGACGUUACCGACAGAAUAAGCACCGGCUAACUCUGUG